This 219-nucleotide long non-coding RNA is filed under the name Salvia miltiorrhiza (redroot sage). RNAcentral's name for it is "long non-coding RNA (SMIL_LNC009032)". The record is from RNAcentral. Lineage: Eukaryota; Viridiplantae; Streptophyta; Magnoliopsida; Lamiales; Lamiaceae.
AGAAAUUUUAUUAAAAGAAAAAAGAGAGCCCCGACGCUACAAAGGAUCGGAACACAAAAAACCGACUAAAAGCAAACAAAAACCGCGUAAAAACCCCCCCCACAAAGUACCGCGGGAAGACGAAAACAAAGGAAACGAAAGCUAAGAAGAAAAAAUUAAAAAACAUCCUCGUCCCCAACAUCAUCAUCAUCCAACAUAUCACCCCAUUUCUUCUUUUUG